GAUGAACGCUGGCGGCGUGCCUAACACAUGCAAGUCGAGCGAACAGACGAGGAGCUUGCUCCUCUGACGUUAGCGGCGGAAGGGUGAGUAACACGUGGAUAACCUACCUAUAAGACUGGGAUAACUUCGGGAAACCGAAGCUAAUACCGGAUAAUAUAUUCAACCGCAUGGUUCAAUAGUGAAAGACGGUUUUGCUGUCACUUAUAGAUGGAUCCGCGCGGCAUUGGCUAGUUGGUAAGGUAACGGCUUACCAAGGCAACGAUGCGUUGCCGACCUGAGAGGGUGAUCGGCCACAGUGGGACUGAGACGCGGUCCAGGCUCCUACGGGAGGCAGAAGUAGGGAAUGUUCGGCGAUGGGCGGAAGCCUGACGGAGCGGCGCCGCGUGGGUGAUGAAGGUCUUCGGAUCGUAAGACUCUGUUAUUGGGGAAGAACAAAUGUGUAAGUGACUAUGCUCGUCUUGACGGUACCUAAUCAGAAAGCAACGGCUAACUACGUG
Molecule: ribosomal RNA, 497 nt
Filed under: uncultured bacterium
Lineage: Bacteria
Description: partial 16S ribosomal RNA
Rfam family: Bacterial small subunit ribosomal RNA
Source: RNAcentral